GCAUUCAUAGCUCAAUCGGACAGAGUCUCGGGCUUCGAACUCGAAUGUGUAGGUUCAAAUCCUGCUGAAUGUA
This 73-nucleotide transfer RNA is filed under the name Proteomonas sulcata. RNAcentral's name for it is "tRNA-Arg". It matches the Rfam family "tRNA". From Rfam's summary of the family: Transfer RNA (tRNA) molecules are approximately 80 nucleotides in length. Lineage: Eukaryota; Cryptophyceae; Pyrenomonadales; Geminigeraceae. The record is from RNAcentral.